UUCACUUUCACCUUUGAAUCAUUUCAACACCACUCCAUUUUACCCAUGCUUUGCAUCAUUACUUCACUUUCACCUUUGAAUCAUUUCAACACCACUCCAUUUUACCCAUGCUUUGCCUUGCACUUCCUCUAUAAAAGGAAGUGUGUGUAAUAUAAAUUGAGUUCAUACUUUGUUAGAUCAUUCACUCCCAUUUUCAACACAACCUUCAUCCAAACACAUCCAUUCAUCUUCACAUCCAUUCCUCCAUACAAACAAACCUUCAAACACUCACCAACAUCUUGUGCCGUAGCAAAGGAAGGGAAGGAAAGUGUUUGGACGUGCUUGCUGUCCAACUUGGAUCGUUGGAGCAUUUAGGUGUUUUCUUUCUUUUGUUUCUAAUGUUUAAAUUCAUUUCCUUUCGUUUUGUUGUAAAUAUGAGUGGCUAAACCCCUAUUGGCUAGGGGUGAUUUCAAAGCCAUGAUUAUGUGUGCAAUAUAAUUUGAUAAAUUCCUGUUAUGAACUCUUGAACCGUGAAUGCGAUUGGCUUAACUAUUUGAUUGAUAACUUAUUUGUAUUUGUUAAUUAAGGGUCGACACUUAAUUGGCAUGCAUAAAUCUGUUGCUAGAAUAUAAAGAAGUUUCACAUAAUCGUUACAAACUUAUAUUCAUAUGUAGUGAAGGUCGCUUAUAAACGAUCGCGUUAAGUUCAAUUCCUAGCAUGAGUGACAUGAUGUCAUAGUUGCAAGUGCUUUGUCAAUGCUUAUGAUUUUCAGUAAACGUAAUGAUCUUUGAUUGUAUCUCUAUUAUGAUGUCAUGCAUGGAACUUUAGAAGAAUGUUUUGUGUUGUCGAAUGAUGUCAUCCAAUCCAAUAAAAUAAGGAAAAUCUGAGAGUUAACUAGUGAUGUCACGGUUAAUUUGGAGCAUUGUCGUUCAUAAUUCAAUGAAGUAGUAACUGGAAAUCGAGUUAUUUGCAUACAUGUCAUGUGUGGAGAAAAAGCCUCUAGCUAUCCCAUCCAUCAUCUUAUUUCUCAAAUUUAUUUUACAAUCUGUCUAGUUUUUCAUACUUGUUUGUUUGUUUCAACUUCGUCCAAAACUCAAUCCCCCUUUACUUUAGUGUGUCUAAUUAGUUAGAAUCUGUUUUAAUUUGUGUUUUUAAAUGUUUUUAUUCAAGUAAAAGUCAAUUUUCGUCCAAAGUAAUUCAUAGUGUCUAGUUUAAGUUUAUUUAGUUGUUUUAAGCUGUUUUGAGUAUUUUAAGUUUGCUUUGAGUCUUGUGAGUCUUGUUAAGUUUAGUUUUAUGUUUUUGAGUCAGUUUAAAGGUUAUUAGCAAGCCCUCCUAGUCCCCGGUCCAGAACGAUCUCUACUUAUACUUAUACUUAUACUACAGUUGUCAAAAGAGGGUUAAAUUUGUGUGUUAAGUUAAUUUUCGCAUUAAGUUUUUGGCGCCGUUGCCAGGGAUUAGCAACUUUGCUAAUCCCUUAUUAUUUCUUUUUGUUUAUUUUCACGUAUUUUUGUUCCUAGUUGCUGAUUUUACUUGUUUUCUUGUUUUAGGUGGUUUAUGACUCGAAGUUCUCAACCUGUUCAUAAGCACAUCUUUGAAUUUGACGACGAUUUUGAACGAACUUUGAGACUAGCAAGGAAUCAACAAGAUCCCCAACCAUCUCAACCUGCACCAGAUCUUGAAGAAGAUAAAGUAGAAGAGCAAGGGGAGGCCACGGCAAGGACUUUUGAAGAAGUCCAAGAUAUGGCAGUAGACAAUCGAACAAUCAAGGAGCUUUCCGCUUCGGGAUUGGAAAAUGCUCUGCCUUUAUGCAUUCAAUAUCCAAGGGCGGCCAAAAACAAGACCGACGAGUUCGAAUUAAAGUCCAGUUUAUUGCAUCAUAUUCCUAAGUUCCAUGGGUUGUCCAUGGAAGAUCCUAAUAAACAUUUGAAGGAGUUCAAGGUUGUUUGUUCGAGCAUGACCCUUGUGAAUGUUGAUGGGAGCAUUCUGAAAAUGAAGGCUUUUCCUUUUUCUCUCUUGGAAAAGGCUAAAGAUUGGUUGUAUGAGCUAGCCCCCGGAACUAUCACAUCAUGGGAGAGUAUGAAACGGGUAUUUUUGGAGAAGUUUUUUCUAACUUCUCGAGUCAUUCUACUACGCAAAAGGAUUAGUGGCAUUCAGCAAAACCAAGGUGAAUCAUUUCCCACUUACUAUGAGCGUUUUAAAACCCUUGUUACUUCAUGUCCACAACACCAGAUAAAGGAGGAGCUUAUUCUUCAAUAUUUCUAUGAAGGGCUUCUACCAAUUGAACGCCAAAUGUUAGAUGCCUCAGCGGGAUGAGCUUUGGUGGACAAAACACCUAUGGCUGCCAAGACCUUAAUUGCUAAUCGAGCAUUGAAUGCUCAACAAUAUGAAGGCGUUGGUCAAAGAGACAACCCACGGCAACAACAAGUUAAUGAGUUGGUUGAAAAACCAAAAGAACAAAGUGUAGCUGCUUGUGGCGUGUGCUCAAUGAAUGGACAUCUCACGGAUAAGUGCCUUCAAUUGAUUGAGAACGGAGGGUGGGAAUCUGCCAACGCCGUGGGCUUUGGGAGUCAAAACCAACCAAGGAAUGAUCCGUUCUCGAAUACAUACAAUCCAAGUUGGAGAGAUCAUCCAAAUUUCAAAUGGAGGGAGCCUCAACAAACCCAACAACAAAGUGCAUUCAGACAACAACCUCCGGGAUUCUAUCAAAGGCCGUAUGCACCCUCACAACCCCAAACACAACCUGCCCAAAAUAACUCAGGUUCGUCUUUUGAUAAUCCUUAAGUUAUUUAGUUACUAACUACGUUGGCGAAGGGUCAAAAAAAUCAAGCCAAAGAUAUGCACAAUUAUGCCAAGGAAGUGCAAAAUCAAGCUCGAGAGGUGAUUGAAUUGAAGAGACAGAUGGGACAAAUGGCUGAGUUUAUGGGGCAAUUUAGUAGAGAGCCAGGUAAGUUACCUAGUUUGACGGAUGUGAAUCCAAAGGGAGGCUUCGAAUCUGCCAAAGCCAUCACCUUGCGAAGUGGACAAGAAGUUGGAUCUGAUCCCAGCCCAUCUAAAUCCAAUCAAAAGGAGGAAGAAAAAAUGCAAUCUGAGGAGAAAGAACAAGGCCUGCCCUCGGCAAGGAUUGAGCAAUCGUUGCCGCAGCCACCUACACACCCUAAUUCAACCACCAAAGGUAAGUUGGGUUCAAAUUCCAUGACUUCUAAUUCCAUUCCAACCAAUGCACCAUUUCCUCGCAGGUUUAUGCAAUCAAAGAAGGAUGAGAGUGACAAAGACAUCCUUGACACAUUUAGAAAGGUGCAAGUCAACAUUCCACUUCUAGAUGCAAUUAAACAAGUCCCCAAGUAUGCUAAGUUCCUGAAUGAGCUGUGCACUACAAGGAAGAGGGCUUCAAACAAAGAUGUGGUAAGGGUAAGUGAGAAUGUCUCAGCUGUGUUGCAACGAAAACUACCUCCUAAGUGCAAAGAUCCAGGCAGUUUUACAAUUCUUUGUGUUAUAGGAAAUACUCGCUUUGGAUCUGCCAUGUUAGAUCUAGGCGCAUCAAUAAAUGUCAUGACUUAUUCAAUAUAUGCAUCUAUGAACUAUUAAAAAAUGAUGGAGUGAUCAUUCAACUGGCCGAUAGAUCUAAUGCAUAUCCAAAAGGUGUUUUGGAGGAUGUUUUAGUGCAGGUGAAUCACCUAGUCUUUCCGGCAGACUUCUACGUGCUUGAAAUUGAAGACUCGAACCAUUCAUUUCAAUUACCAAUAUUACUUGGCCGACCAUUCAUGAAGACUGCCCGUACAAAGAUAGAUGUAUUCAAGGGAACAUUGACCAUGGAAUUUGAUGGGGAAGUUAUUGAUUUCAAUAUUUCUGAUGCUAUGAGAUAUCCUCAUGAUGGUCACUCUUGUUUCUCUAUUGAUGUUAUUGACUCUUGGGCGCAGGAAUUCCUUGAUGAUUUGAAUGAGGAUGCACUUGAAAAGACUUUCACGCAAAGCAUUGGACUAAAAAACGAAGGGUUAGCACUUAGGCAUGCACACGGCAACAACAAGGAACAUCUUGCCGUGCCUAUUCAAGAAGAAUUGGUGGAGAUGGUUGCUGCCCUAGAGUCAAAUCCAAGGCAUAUUGGUAAGUCUCCUAACCUAAUUUCAAUUCCCAUUUCGACUAACAAGUUGCUUCCUUCUGUAAUCCAGCUCCCUUCCCUAGAGCUUAAACCAUUGCCUAGCCAUUUGAAAUAUGUGUUUUUGGGAGAGCAAGAGACGCUGCCCGUCAUCAUCUCUUCUUCACUCACUGCACAAGAGGAGGACAAGUUGGUGAGGGUGCUUCGGGAAUACAGAACUGCCAUUGUGUGGACAUUGGCCGAUAUAAAGGGAAUUAGCCCUACCACUUGUAUGCAUCUAAUACUCUUGGAAGAAGGAGCCAAACCAUCUAGAGAAGCACACCGCCAGCUCAAUCCACCCAUGAUGGACGUUGUGAAGAAGGAAAUCAUCAAGCUACUAAAUUAUGGAGUGAUUUACCCAAUUUCUGAUAGCCAUUGGGUUUCGCUGGUCCAAGUUGUUCCUAAGAAGUCCGGAGUCACUGUGGUAACAAAUGAAGAUAAUGAGCUUGUGCCCACCUGAAUUCAAAUCGGAUAGAGAGUUUGUAUUGACUAUCGGAAGCUCAACGUUACGACAAGAAAAGAUCAUUUCCCCGCUGCCCUUUAUUGAUCAAAUGCUGGAAAGGUUAGCCGGUCAUUCAUUUUAUUGUUUUCUUGAUGGCUAUUGGGUUAUAAUCAGAUUGUGAUAGCUCCCGAUGACCAAGAAAAGACUACCUUCACAUGUCCUUUUGGUACCUUUGCUUAUCGACGCAUGCCAUUUUGGCUAUGCAGCGCACCAGCCACAUUCCAAAUGUGUAUGGUAAGUAUUUUCUCAGAAUUUGUGGAAAAGAUCAUUGAAGUGUUUAUGGAUGACUUUAGUGUCUUUGGUGACUCAUUUGAUGCAUGCUUGAAUAAUCUUACUCUGAUCUUACAACGAUGCAUCGAAACUAAUCUUGUCUUGAAUUGGGAAAAAUGUCAUUUUAUGGUAAAACAAGGUAUAGUUUUGGGGCAUAUCAUAUCAGAAAAAGGGAUUGAGGUUGAUAAAUCUAAAAUAGAUCUUGUACGUCACUUACCCUCUCCCACUUCGGUGAGGGAGGUUCGUUCUUUUCUUGGCCAUGCAGGAUUUUAUAGGAGAUUCAUAAAGGAUUUCUCAAAAAUCGCUCAACCCCUUUGCCGUUUACUCCAAAAGGAAGUAGCCUUCGAGUUCAACAAGGAGUGUGAGACCGCUUUCAAAACCCUCAAGGACAUGUUGACGUCGGCCCCCAUCAUCAUGCCACCAGAUUGGAGCCUUCCAUUUGAGCUAAUGUGUGAUGCAUCUGAUUAUGCCAUUGGUGAUGUUUUAGGCCAAAUGAAGAAUAAACAGCCCCACGUCAUCCACUACGCUUCUCGGACACUAAAUGAUGCUCAAUUGAAUUAUUCUGCCACUGAGAAAGAACUUCUUGCAGUUGUAUUUGCUUUAGAUAAAUUUCGUUCAUACUUACUUGGCACUAAAGUGUUUGUAUAUUCUGACCAUGCAGCGUUGAAGUACCUCCUCACCAAGAAGGAGGCCAAACCAAGGCUGAUUCGUUGGAUGCUCAUACUUCAAAAGUUUAACAUUGAAAUAAGAGACAAAAAUGGGAGUGAAAACGUGGUGGCUAACCACCUCAGCCGUUUGGUGCACGAGGAUGACUCCUUACCCAUUCUAGAGACCUUCCCUGACGAGCAAUUGAUGUCCCUAGAGGUAAGUGAGCCCUGGUAUGCUGAUUUGGUCAAUUAUUUGGUCACAAAACAAGUUCCUAGCACUCUAGAUAAAUACAAGCGUGAUAAACUCAGAAAUGAUGCACGAUUUUAUGUAUGGGAUGAUCCAUAUUUGUGGAAGUAUUGUCCUGACUAGAUUAUUCGUAGAUGUGUGCACAAUUCCGAGUUUAAUUCAAUUCUUGCAUUUUGCCAUAGUUAUGCAUGUGGGGGUCAUUUUGGCACCCAAAGGAUAGCCCUUAAGGUUUUAGAGAGUGGUUUCUAUUGGCCUACAUUGUUUAAGGAUGCUAGAACAUUUUGUAUAACUUGUGAUAAAUGCCAAAGAACAGGUACAAUUAGUGUCAAAGACCAAAUGUCGCAAACCCCCAUCUUUAAUGUGGAGAUCUUUGAUGUAUGGGGUAUGGAUUUCAUGGGACCCUUUCCGCCCUCAUAUGGUUUUACUUAUAUUUUUCUAGCCGUUGAUUAUGUGUCAAAAUAGGUGGAAGCCAAAGCCACCCAUACUAACGAUUCUAGAGUGGCAUGCCGAGUUAGCUUGUUCUCAUGCAUUUAUGUUGUUAUUCCUUAGUAGUUUUAGUGUUUAAAGUCAUUCUUGUGCAAUUUCAGGUUCUGAGGACAAAGUAUGCAAAAAUGUGCAUUUUGGAGCCUUUUGGAGCAAUUUUGGGCUUGGAAUAAAUAUCACAUGCUUGGAACUAAAGGAAUGGACGAAAUUGAAGACCUAAAGAUGAGGAUUCCUACUUGAAGUAGGAAAGUUAAGCCAAGGUUUCCUAUUUUGGUUUGAUCUUUCCUAAAUCCUAAAUGUCCCUAAGUUCCAGCAACAUUGAAGGUUUCCUAUGCAUUUUAGGACACAGAUUAAGGGUUCCUUGUACCAUAACAAACCUUUGCCAUGCACUCCAUCCAUAUUUAAUUCUUGCAUCAUUACUUCACUUUCACCUUUAAAUCAUUUCAACACCACUCCAUUUUACCCAUGCUUUGCAUCAUUACUUCACUUUCACCUUUGAAUCAUUUCAACACCACUCCAUUUUACCCAUGCUUUGCCUUGCACUUCCUCUAUAAAAGGAAGUGUGUGUAACAUAAAUUGAGUUCAUACUUUGUUAGAUCAUUCACUCCCAUUUUCAACACAACCUUUAACCAAACACAUCCAUUCAUCUUCACAUCCAUUCCUCCAUACAAACAAACCUUCAAACACUCACCAACAUCUUGUGCCGUAGCAAAGGAAGGGAAGGAAAGUGCUUGGACGUGCUUGCUGUCCAACUUGGAUCGUU
Molecule: long non-coding RNA, 7023 nt
Filed under: Malus domestica (apple)
Lineage: Eukaryota; Viridiplantae; Streptophyta; Magnoliopsida; Rosales; Rosaceae
Description: long non-coding RNA (MDOM_LNC014792)
Source: RNAcentral